Myodes glareolus (Bank vole) is the source of this 1203-nucleotide long non-coding RNA. RefSeq lists it as uncharacterized. The record is from RefSeq and is a predicted model, not a curated record. Lineage: Eukaryota; Metazoa; Chordata; Mammalia; Rodentia; Cricetidae.
UUGAGACACAGCCAUGUUCUGAUUCUUUGGUCACCAGGCAACCUACUCCCCAUUGUGAUCCUGUCUCCCCAAGGGCUCUGCCAACCAGGGAAACAACAUUCACUGCUCCUACAAGCGUUAGCCGCUUGAUAAUGCUUGGUGGAUUAAUGACCCAUGAUCAGGACAAAUCUCCUAUUUCGGAUUACUAUAACGUGACAGGAUCCUGCUUAUGUGCUGUUUUGAGUAGCCUGAAAUAGUCUCGUGGGACCUGGCUACUCCUGAACAGCAGUUAAAAUGGCAAAGAUGCGCCUUCAGCUGGACCCUGGAUCUAAGACCCGGGAGCCGGCCUCGCUCCCAGCAGUCUGUGCGAACAGGGCGCACCACUUCCUGUUAAACUUCUCCGAGCCGAUAAGAAGCUACCAGUAAAUUAACUGAACAAGGUCUCCGUCUGCGGCGCUCUGGGCCCUGGAAGGGAUUCCUUCGAGGAAUUUACCAAACAACCUCAGGACUGCAGUUGGGUUCUACCGAAGAGAGGAGUCACAUCAGAGAAGAAGGGAAGAUGAAAUGGAGUCCUUUACUCCCGUCAUCCCUGCAGGAUAUACAGAUAUCUGCUGAGUUUACUGAUGAAGCAUCCCUACUGUGAACAUGCAGUGUCCGCUGAACGCUGAAACUUUCAAGUGUGUGGAGCUUUCCAACUUCGAUUUACUUCUGUACGGUGGAGCCCAGAGUGCACCCUCUCUCGGGGACUAAAACGGCGCUUGACAAUUGAAAGGACAGUUUUGUGGAGCAAGGCUGCAAAAAUUUCUCAGUCCAUUGCAGGAAAGUUCCAUGCUGCCAAAUGGUCAGGAAAGUUUAAUUUUGUCCACAAAAGAGACGGAGAAGCCGUAACAAAGCCAAGAAACUAAGGUGCCACAUGAAGGCGGCAGACGUGAACAACCACAGAAACCAUUAUUUCCCUGGGCUUACGUAGAAAGACAAGCCAAGAGUCGCAUGGAGGCACACACAAAACCAGCCUCGAUGCUGCUUUGAAGACAUCUUUUAAAUGAACUGUCUUGGUGUCCUACAGUUCAUCAAAGGUUUCCUGUCUCUGAAAGGUCAGCCUUGUAUCCCUUACCCUUUCUGAAUCUCAGAAUCUCUUUUCAGCUCUUCAUUUCCAAAAGGUGAGCAGGUGUCUCUCAGGCCUAACAAUCACGACUGCACAGUUCACGGAUUCUUAAGGUAAGU